This is a non-coding RNA of Coturnix japonica (Japanese quail), 2353 nucleotides long. Lineage: Eukaryota; Metazoa; Chordata; Aves; Galliformes; Phasianidae. The record is from RefSeq and is a predicted model, not a curated record.
AAUUGCUCCUCAGUGGGGAUUGCCUCAGUGUUUCCUAGCUGACUAAAGGCUUCUAUAUGGGAAGCAAGAGGAACAGACCAAAGAAUGGAAGAUGAUCAGACAAAAGAUAAGUGGUGGGAAAACAAUUCCUCAAACUCUGGAGGAAACCUGGAGGGCCACUUGUGCUGGAGGACAUGAGGAGCUCUAGGAAAUAUUUGUUUCUGCUUUGUCUGUUUGGGAGAAGCUGUCAGCCUGCACUUCCUACAGCUGUUGAUGUGGGGCAGAGAUAAUGCACUCCCUCCAUGUUUAUGGUACCAGAAGGUGACCAGAUUAGCCAUGUCCAUAGUCUUAUUCUCCAUCCCAAGAAGCAAGAAGAGAUGUCAGCCUACUCAAGCUACAAGGUUUUCAGUUUUCUCCAGCUGACCAAAUCUUAUCUUCAGCUGCUCUCGAAAUACCAUACUGGUAUCAGCGGUUCUCCUCAAUACCAGCAGAAAGGCCUGAAGCAAUUGCAAAAUGACAAAUGACCAUCAGCUCAGCAAGUUUGCUAUAUUAUGUGCAGAUCACAGUCAACACUAUAAUAGAAUAGGCAUUUAGGUGGGAUUCAGACCAGUGGUCUACAGAUAGAGGUCCUCACGGAGGGCACCAGAAGUGAUGGCACCCGUGCUUUGGUCAGUGACAGAGCUCUGGAAAACCAGGAUGGCUGCAAGUGUAGCAGAGGCUGGCUGUUCCUGGCCUGGGAAGGAUGGUCAUCCCACUGGAGUAAUUAGCAUCCCACUCCUCUGCGCUCCCAAUGACAGGGGACUCUUCUCAGCAGGAUCCUGUAUGCUCCUUCCUGUGAUGAGGUGGCUUUUUCAGGAAUGCAGAGCAUGUAGAACCUCAGAGACUGUUUUGUCCUUUUGUGCCAGGAAUCUGCCGAGAGAUUUGUGCACUUGCUGUGCAAACUGGUUCCAUGAGUGGCCACUCUACAGAAGACACUAAGCGGCUGCAGUACAGCCCUUUCUGCAUGAAGACUAAAGAAACACAGUCUUAGUCAAAAUGUCAGCAAAAGAUUUUAAUCUUUUCUUGCCUCUUAAUUUAUUUCUCCAAAUUAGCCUGGAAUGCUUAAACCUAUCAUUUAAAAUAAUCAACCUGUCAUCUCUGGUAUUGGCACAUUACUGAAAAAACUGCAGCAAGUUUUUUUGGAAGACAAAAAACUCCUGGAUCUGCUUCUUUACAAAUAAACUGUGUUUACUACUAUGCUGUUACACUAUAAAACAUUCUAUAGAAUAUGCAGCUGUUCAACCAAACACCCUAAAUUCAUGUGCUAGUAUUUGCAUGUACCUGUGCAAUAUCUAUACUGAAACGGAAGCCAUUUCAUUAUAAUGCAGCCAUGUUAUAUAUUUCCUUAUCACUGUCAUACUAAACAUACCUCAGCCUCGUUCUAGAGGCCCUGUGUUGCCACCAGGAUGCCAACCCCUCUGGACACCUACCAGCAUGCAGAACAUCCAGCCAUUAGACCCUAAACUCAUCCUAUGGAGCCAGAGCUGUUCAUGGGCUAGUCUCCAACUCUAAAACUGCCACCCAUCCAAGCAAGCACAAGGGUCCAAUCUUUAAUAUCCACACUAUAUCAUAAAUCAGCCCUACUCCCAGAGCCUCAAAGUAGUCUAAGCGAGAUUUUGUACUAAUGAAUAGGCAGUAUCCCCAGAACACACAGUACUUCUCAAGUUGUCAAACUUCACUGAGGCUGCCAGUGAUAGCCCCUACCCACUGCACGCUGCGAUGACACAACCACCUCAUUUUACAUAUGCCCCCAACUGACUGACCAAGGGCAAUCAAUUUUUCAGUUGGCUCUGAACCUCAGAACACUCACAUAAAAUAACCCAAACCAAAUACUCUAACUUACGCUUCAUCUGAACAUUAACCAUAUAAAUAAGCACAGACAGUAAUGAAAGGGAGAUGUCAACACUGAAAGGUGUUGAAAAUUACAUUAGGAAUAAUGAAUGCUUCAGGGAUUAACAGUACCAUAUGGUACCUUUCAUGUCCAACUUACUGGUACAAAUCCAGAUAGAGCAGCACGGAUAAAAACCUUUACCAUCUGGAGACUUAUUAGUUCACGGAAAAUAAACAGGUGCUGGUGUCUCACACACACACAAAAUCCACCAUCAUACCUGGAAGUCUUGUUGCCUUUCGCAGUAGAGAGAUCAAAGAGGGCCAGAAUAUCCUUCUGUCUCCCCAAGUACAGUGUGAGAAGUGAGGACAGCUGAAUGCAGUAUACUACUACCACCCACUACAGAACUAAAACACAUGAUCACACAGAUUUCCAGGAAUGAUCCUUUUCAGGGAACAGAAGGAUUUAUGAUUUUCAAGAUGAAAUCUUGUCCGCCCACACACUGCU